UUGAGAGUUUGAUCCUGGCUCAGAACGAACGCUGGCGGCAGGCCUAACACAUGCAAGUCGAGCGCUACCUUCGGGUGGAGCGGCGGACGGGUUAGUAACGCGUGGGAACGUACCCAGAUCUAAGGAAUAGCCACUGGAAACGGUGAGUAAUACCUUAUACGCCCUUCGGGGGAAAGAUUUAUCGGAUUUGGAUCGGCCCGCGUUAGAUUAGAUAGUUGGUGGGGUAACGGCCUACCAAGUCUACGAUCUAUAGCUGGUUUUAGAGGAUGAUCAGCAACACUGGGACUGAGACACGGCCCAGACUCCUACGGGAGGCAGCAGUGGGGAAUCUUAGACAAUGGGCGCAAGCCUGAUCUAGCCAUGCCGCGUGAGUGAUGAAGGCCUUAGGGUCGUAAAGCUCUUUCGCCAGAGAUGAUAAUGACAGUAUCUGGUAAAGAAACCCCGGCUAACUCCGUGCCAGCAGCCGCGGUAAUACGGAGGGGGUUAGCGUUGUUCGGAAUUACUGGGCGUAAAGCGUACGUAGGCGGAUUAGUCAGUCAGAGGUGAAAUCCCAGGGCUCAACCCUGGAACUGCCUUUGAUACUGCUAGUCUUGAGUUCGAGAGAGGUGAGUGGAAUUCCAAGUGUAGAGGUGAAAUUCGUAGAUAU
This 646-nucleotide ribosomal RNA is filed under the name Chaetoceros neogracilis. RNAcentral describes it as "partial Bacterial small subunit ribosomal RNA". It matches the Rfam family "Bacterial small subunit ribosomal RNA", at positions 1 to 697 of the family's 1533-position model. Lineage: Eukaryota; Bacillariophyta; Thalassiosirophyceae; Chaetocerotales; Chaetocerotaceae. The record is from RNAcentral.